Molecule: long non-coding RNA, 2024 nt
Organism: Vespa mandarinia (Asian giant hornet)
Lineage: Eukaryota; Metazoa; Arthropoda; Insecta; Hymenoptera; Vespidae
Gene: Cln3
Source: RefSeq, a predicted model, not a curated record
UAAUAUCGUACAACAUUCAGAAGUUAACAGAAGUAUGAAUCAUUUAACGGGUGGCCUGAAAUUAAAAAUAAUUACACUUACCAUUGUAUUUUAAGAGUCAAAGUAAAGAAACGAUAAUUUCAUAGAUUUUUGAAAACGAUUAAUCGAUUGUAGUCGAAAUAACUUUUUUCCUCUUUUUUUAUUCAUUAUUUUAAAGAGAAAUGAUUUUUUAUCUUCGUUGUUAUUAAAAGGCUAUUAGUUUUCUCGAACAUGACUCGGCUAAGACAAUUUUUCUGACGCGCAGUCGCACCAAUGUCGACCAUAAAUCGUUGAUUUUGCCUCCAAGAUAUUUAUUUCAAUUCUAAGACUCGUCAAGGCAGGCACGUGCUACCAUUGCUCCUAGAAUAUAUAUAUAUAUUUGUAUAUAUAUACACGCACACGCACGUACACACAUAAAUAUAUAUAUAUAUAUAUGUAUAUACACAUACAUAAAGUGCUUGUGCAAAGAUUUAUAAAUUACGAUCCUUCGUAAUUGGUAUUCCUCAUUUAAACCUUUUUUUUCUUUUAUCUUGUUUCUAGUGAUAUUAGUGAGUGAAUUAAUUUUUUUUGUAUUUAGAUGUUUCUAAUCUUUUUAUAGAAAUUUUUAUAUAAACUGUGAUCGUGAAUUGUGAUACAUAUGUACUUAUGUAUGUAUUAUUUUGUGAGAAGACUCAUCAUCGAAAAUUUAUAUCCUUUUUGUUAUUGGUAUCAAUCGAUUUAGGUGAAUUAAUUAAUCGCCAUCAAUCAUUGUGACAAAAGUUGGUUAGCAAGAAAGUAGUUCAAGUGCAAGUGACCCAGUCGCUGCCAACAUAGUGAGGUGAUUCACUUCAGGGCCGUUACGCGAAUUACGCCGAGAAAAGGCGGAAGUUUUCUUCAUGUCGUCAUCAUUUUUACUUCUUCCUCCUCCUUCUUCUUCUUUUUAAUAGUCAAGAUCGUAAUCCGAUGAACGAACGAUUACAUACAUACAUUGAAUCAAUUAGUAGGUGGAGGUCAAUGGAAAGUCACGAACGGUCGUAUCUUUUGUGGAUUCAGAAAGGGUACUACCUCGAAAGCUUGCACUUGGGAGGAGGCCACGAUAUAAAUUGGAAACAGAUGGAUUCGCGAUAAGCGAACAGAAUCGAUCGAACUUUCGAGCGGAGUAACACGGCAUUGAGGAAGAAGAAAUAGAAUAAUUGAAAAUAUUUGCUUCUUAAUAGGAAACUGAUUUUGGAUCACUUGAGAAUUUUCUUUGAGAAAAAAAUAAGAAUAGUAAGAAAAAGAUUUGUUAUUUUUUCUUUGUUGUUUUUUUUUUUUUCUUUUUUUCAUUGUCAAAUCACCAGAAAUAUCUUACGUUCGGGACAUCGAAAAGAUUGCUUUACAUAUUCUUCAAGAAGAUACAUAUAAGAAAAACAAGAAUCAAGCAAGCAUAAUCAGAUACGGAGGCCAAUAAGAACGUUAAAAAGGAAGUUCCUUGAGGAAAGGGAGCGAAGUUUCUCGAAGACUUGACCGCCAUUAGCUUCGACUGACUCCCGUGUUCUACACUCACAAUCUUCUUUCUUCUUAAGAAGAAGCAACUUCGUAGGUGCCGCGUAAAGAACAAAGAUCUCUCUUAAUACCCGUUAGUUAGUUCGUUCGUUAGUUCGUUUAUUCAUUCAUUCAUUCAUUUAUUCGUUCGUUCGUUCGUUCGUUCGUUCGUUCGUUCGUUCACAUAAAUAUUAUCAUACUUUUCUUUUUCUUUUUUCUUUUGACUUAUGAAACGGACAAUUUUCUCCAAUUAAAAAUACACAAUAAUUUCGUCGUGAUCUAAGAGAAAUUUGAGGAAACAUUAACAAGCGAGUAAUUUCGACGAUAGAAAUUUUCAAAGAUUUAGAAAGAAUUAUUAAUAUCAAGACGUCAUUGAGAAGAAGCGGCAAAUUUUUCGAAAAAGGUGGAAUAUAGUGAAAAAAAGAUAGAUAGAUAGAUAGAUAGAUAAAGAAAGUUAAAUCAAGACUCUUAUUUUUUCAAGUUGGAAUCAAUUUCGAAAUUUG